This 497-nucleotide ribosomal RNA is filed under the name uncultured bacterium. RNAcentral's name for it is "partial 16S ribosomal RNA". It matches the Rfam family "Bacterial small subunit ribosomal RNA", at positions 28 to 507 of the family's 1533-position model. The record is from RNAcentral.
GAUGAACGCUGGCGGCGUGCCUAAUACGUGCAAGUCGAGCGAACAGAUGAGGAGCUUGCUCCUCUGACGUUAGCGGCGGACGGGUGAGUAACACGUGGAUAACCUACCUAUAAGACUGGGAUAACUUCGGGAAACCGGAGCUAAUACCGGAUAAUAUAUUGAACCGCAUGGUUCAAUAGUGAAAGACGGUUUUGCUGUCACUUAUAGAUGGAUCCGCGCCGCAUUAGCUAGUUGGUAAGGUAACGGCUUACCAAGGCAACGAUGCGUAGCCGACCUGAGAGGGUGAUCGGCCACAGUGGAACUGAGACACGGUCCAGACUCCUACGGGAGGCAGCAGUAGGGAAUCUUGCGCAAUGGGGGAAAGCCUGACGGAGCAACGCCGCGUGAGUGAUGAAGGUCUUCGGAUCGUAAAACUCUGUUAUUAGGGAAGAACAAAUGUGUAAGUAACUAUGCACGUCUUGACGGUACCUAAUCAGAAAGCCACGGCUAACUACGUG